This 454-nucleotide ribosomal RNA is filed under the name uncultured cyanobacterium. RNAcentral describes it as "bacterial SSU rRNA". It matches the Rfam family "Bacterial small subunit ribosomal RNA", at positions 297 to 782 of the family's 1533-position model. Lineage: Bacteria; Bacillati; Cyanobacteriota. The record is from RNAcentral.
UGGGGAAUCUUCCGCAAUGGGAUUAGACCCCCCAGUAGUCAUGGGGAAUUUUCCGCAAUGGGCGAAAGCCUGACGGAGCAACGCCGCGUGAGGGAAGACGGCUCGUGGGUUGUAAACCUCUUUUCUCAGGGAAGAAGCACUGACGGUACCUGAGGAAUCAGCCAUCGGCUAACUCCGUGCCAGCAGCCGCGGUAAUACGGAGGAUGCAAGCGUUAUCCGGAAUUAUUGGGCGUAAAGCGUCCGUAGGCGGUUUUACAAGUCUGCUGUUAAAGCGUGCAGCUUAACUGCAUAUCGGCAGUGGAAACUGUAAGACUAGAGUGUAGUAGGGGUAGAGGGAAUUCCCAGUGUAGCGGUGAAAUGCGUAGAUAUUGGGAAGAACACCGGUGGCGAAAGCGCUCUACUGGGCUACAACUGACGCUGAUGGACGAAAGCUAGGGGAGCGAAAGGGAUUAGA